AGGGGCGUGGUGUAAUGGCAGCAUGGUGGACUCCAAAUCCAUUGGUGGGGGUUCAAAUCCCUCCGCCCCUGCCA
This 74-nucleotide transfer RNA is filed under the name Dehalococcoidia bacterium. RNAcentral describes it as "tRNA-Trp". It matches the Rfam family "tRNA". From Rfam's summary of the family: Transfer RNA (tRNA) molecules are approximately 80 nucleotides in length. Their secondary structure includes four short double-helical elements and three loops (D, anti-codon, and T loops). The record is from RNAcentral. Lineage: Bacteria; Bacillati; Chloroflexota; Dehalococcoidia.